UAUUGUUCUUCUCAUGGGAAGGAGGAGAAGACGAAGUGGCAAAGAAGAACAUUCCAGACAAGUGAGGGAGAGAGGAGAAGGCGAAGUUGCAGAGACGACGGAGAGGAAAGACGAGCGUGCGUUUGCGAUUUGCCUUCGCUCUCACCGAUCAAAGUUCAUUUCUCAUGUUUUCCUUGCUAAUAUUCGUUAUUCAACGUUUUUUGGGUUUGAUUGUUUGGUUUUCUUCGCAAACAUCGAUUGAUUUCUUCUUCUUUUUUUCGUCGCCUUUCGUUAUUGCUUCAUGAUCUUCAUAAAAUUUUAAUUUUUUAACGAAUUUCCGUAACCGGAUUCAGAAAUUUCUGGGUUUAUGUUCAUAAAGUUUUGAUUUUUGAACACAUUUUUUAUCUAGUUUUUCACCUUCUGUAUUGCACAACUUUCAAUCUGAUGGAUAGUUAAUGUAUUAGUAGCAGAAUUGGUGUUAGUAAUUUGGGCUUAUUUCAUCUCUUUUGGUUAGUCACACCACCUGUUUGGUGAUAUGCCUGAGAGAGGGGAGGAAAGUUUAGAUCAUUUACUUUUCUCUUGCAGGUUCGUAUGGAACACCUGGAAGAAGUAUUAUAUCUGGAUUGGCCUCCAAACUGCUCUGCUCCUAGACUAUAAAAUGCAUUUCAAUCAUCAUUGUACUGAGGUGGGAUCAAAGAAGAAGAUGGAUGGUUAUUAGUUUGAUGCACUUGUGUUUGGACUCUAUGGCUGAGGUGUUGUUUUAGUCUGUAGGUGCAAGGUAGAAGGAUUCUCACUUUCCUGAUCUUGUAAUCCUACAGUGUGUAUGGAUGGUAUAACUUGAAAGAUGAUGGAAUGCUCUGUUACUUUUGGGGCUUUUCUCAUAGUGCAGUGGUUCAUAAGGCCUCCAAGUGGGGUAUUUGAAUGAGAGCGCAACAAUUUGGUUCGCAGGCAAGAUAAGGUGCAUUUACUGGGCACUUGAAGUGGAGGGACAAGUUUAGCUUUCCAAAUUGUAUUUCUGAGAUGUAGAUCCUCUACUGUUUGUGGGUGUCAAUGUAAAUUUUGUAUUUCUAAUAUGAAGCCAGCACUAACCAUCAAAAUUGUAAAUCUAUCU
Molecule: long non-coding RNA, 1090 nt
Organism: Lotus japonicus
Lineage: Eukaryota; Viridiplantae; Streptophyta; Magnoliopsida; Fabales; Fabaceae
Exons: 2
Source: RefSeq, a predicted model, not a curated record